RNAcentral lists this unclassified non-coding RNA (200 nucleotides) under uncultured Myrmecia (in: green algae). RNAcentral's name for it is "uncultured Myrmecia partial internal transcribed spacer 2". Lineage: Eukaryota; Viridiplantae; Chlorophyta; Trebouxiophyceae. The record is from RNAcentral.
UAACCCCAUCACCCACAAUACUUGUGAGUGGACUUGGCAGUCCCAGUCUGGGUCUGCCGAAUUGCAGCAGUUGCUAUCAGGACCCGCCUUUGGCGUGGCCAUUCAGUUUGGUAGGUAACCCCUGGUUGCAUGCCACUGUUGGCCAUUGUGGCCUGUUGUAGUACACUGGCAGGAAACCAAGGGCCUCGAGCCCUUUCUCA